RNAcentral lists this ribosomal RNA (303 nucleotides) under uncultured bacterium. RNAcentral's name for it is "partial 16S ribosomal RNA". It matches the Rfam family "Bacterial small subunit ribosomal RNA", at positions 507 to 807 of the family's 1533-position model. The record is from RNAcentral.
AGCAGUAGCCGCGGGAAUACGAAGGGUGCAAGCGUUAAUCGGAAUUACUGGGCGUAAAGCGUGCACAGGCAGUUGUGUAAGACAGGUGUGAAAUCCCCGGGCUUAACCUGGGAACUGCGCUUGUGACUGCACAGCUAGAGUAUGGCAGAGGGGGGUGGAAUUCCACGUGUAGCAGUGAAAUGCGUAGAGAUGUGGAGGAACACCGAUGGCGAAGGCAGCCCCCUGGGCCAAUACUGACGCUCAUGCACGAAAGCGUGGGGAGCAAACAGGAUUAGAGACCCCUGUAGUCCCUGUCUCUUAUAC